CCCAUCACUGUGUAUCCUAAAAGGGCUAUUGGGCUCUGCCAGUAUUGUCAGGACCGUCCUAGGAAACCGGAACAAUGCAGCCCAUGCUCCAAAGGGCUGGCGUGGGACGCGCCCCAGGUCGGACCGCAGCCCACGGCAGUGCAAGGCUACCGGUGCGCGGCAAAGGAAGGGGUUCCACGGGCGCCCUAAACGCUCACGCUGGGGAAGGAGGUGCAGGAAACGAAGGAAGCAGGGAGGAGACGGAGAAGUGCUGCAGCAGCUUGAGUCGGCAAGUUGAGAGAAGUGAAAGCAGUCCAGGUUGGGCGGAACGUGAAGAAGGGCUGGAGGAGCGGCCCAAGGUAAAAGAUCCAGCCGCAGACGAAAGCGGUAACUGGAUUAGGAGGGCCAUUAAGCGAAUUUAAGGAGAUAGGACUUUAUCCCGAGAGCAACGGAGAGCCCAUAAAAGAUCGUAAACAGGAGUGACACGAACAGAUUUACAUUAAAAUAAAGCAUCUGACCGGCUGUGCUGUCGAGACGGGGGAGGGGCAAGGGCGGAGGCGGAGAGAGCGGUGAGCGGUCGCCGGAGGUCCAGUUGGGAGACGCCGCGCCCCGCACCGAGGUAUGAGAGCUGCAGCAGCGACAACCAGGCGGCCUGAAGUGCAGACGCAAAACGGAUCCCGGGGCUAGGUGAAUUGGGGUAGGGGGAUAAUGACCAGAUUGUAGUGUUGUCUUUGCUGAGACAGGAAACACGCGAGGCUUGUAGGGAAGGUGCCCAGCUUCGCUGAGAACACCUAGAUUUUGAGAUUUCUGUGGCACCCAAGUUAAAUAUGCCUGGACUUCAGGACACGGGGGUUCCGGAAGCAGGAUGACGCGCCGGGAGGGGACGAGACGGUCCAGAGCACGCCCGGGAGAGAGGGCGGCCCAGACGGCACCGGCCUGCGCUCCAGCCCUCCCUCCCUCACACACGCGGAAUCUCAAAACAUGCGCAAACGUAUUGGCAACCAAAUCAUGUCAGCGUUGGCUUUGCG
RNAcentral lists this long non-coding RNA (1007 nucleotides) under Pan troglodytes (chimpanzee). RNAcentral describes it as "long non-coding RNA NONPTRT017080". The record is from RNAcentral. Lineage: Eukaryota; Metazoa; Chordata; Mammalia; Primates; Hominidae.